Molecule: ribosomal RNA, 253 nt
Filed under: uncultured bacterium
Lineage: Bacteria
Description: partial 16S ribosomal RNA
Rfam family: Bacterial small subunit ribosomal RNA
Source: RNAcentral
UACGUAGGGGGCUAGCGUUGUCCGGAAUCAUUUGGCGUAAAGCGCGCGUAUGCGGCCCGGUAAGUCCGCUGUGAAAGUCAAAGGCUCAACCUUUGAAUGUCAGCGGAUACUGCCGGGCUAGAGUCCGGAAGAGGCGAGUGGAAUUCCUGGUGUAGCGGUGGAAUGCGCAGAUAUCAGGAGGAACACCAACGGCGAAGGCAGCUCGCUGGGACGGUACUGACGCUGAGGCGCGAAAGCGUGGGGAGCGAACAGG